AAAGAGUUAGUUUAAAAUAAAACAUAGCUUUGUCAAAGCUAAAAUAUUAAUAUAUGAUACCCUUUA
Molecule: transfer RNA, 66 nt
Filed under: Peirates lepturoides
Lineage: Eukaryota; Metazoa; Arthropoda; Insecta; Hemiptera; Reduviidae
Description: tRNA-Asp
Rfam family: tRNA
About the family: Transfer RNA (tRNA) molecules are approximately 80 nucleotides in length. Their secondary structure includes four short double-helical elements and three loops (D, anti-codon, and T loops).
Source: RNAcentral